Long non-coding RNA from Dermochelys coriacea (leatherback sea turtle), 10140 nucleotides. RefSeq lists it as uncharacterized. The record is from RefSeq and is a predicted model, not a curated record. NCBI's taxonomy places the organism in Eukaryota, Metazoa, Chordata, Testudines, Dermochelyidae. The transcript is spliced from 9 exons.
UUUUUUUUAAAUAUGAUUGUUGUUAUUCUAUCUUUGCACUUUCACUUUGCCUUAGUUGCAGGAUCUUUCAUGAGAAUGGGGGCAAAAUAAGGCUGGAGACCCAGAUAAAUAUUCAUGGCAAAGUGAGACUGAAAUAGUCUUUGUAGCUCUCAGACUUUAUUGACUCUUUGAUCAGGCACGAGGAAAAAAAAAGUCUGAUCAUAUCAUCACCUGCUAAGCAGAAAUUCACGGAUAACACACAGGGAUUCGGUAGCAUAGUGACUCGGUAGCACAACCUCUGUACUAUAUAUGGAGCAACUCUAAAUAGGUAACCGAUCUAAGUACACAGGGGCAAUUGUUUAUAUCCUAUUGAACCUGGGUACUAAGCACCAUAACAGAGAUAGUUAGUUUAUUUCCUAUUGAAUAUCUGCAGCAAGCACCAAAACAGACAAACGCAUGGAUAGAUAGAAAUCAAUUUUAAAAUGCAUAGAUAAAUAGACAGGGAGACAGUUGCUUCUAUACAAAUAUACACAUAUAUAUAUAUACACAAGUCUGAGAUAGGGACUUAUACACAUAUAGUCAAACUAAGCAGAAACAUGGGGACAAAGAUGCAUACAAAACUAUACACAGGAUUAAUUGCAGCAGCUUUCCCCCUCCACACACACUUUUUCAUGUUGCCACAUGCACACCCCUUCUGCCGCAGAAAUAAUAUAUGUCUCUAAAGCCGCAGGUGCUGAGAUGAUUGGAAAGUUGUAAAAAGCACCUAGACUUGACACUGUCCUGUUUAUAAACCUGGAAUAUAAUAAGAUUCCACCAACAAAGAUGCGCGCCUGGUCAAUUUCAAAGGCAGGCUGUAGAAUUCCAAUUGAUCAUGAUGUAGCAAUAUACACCCUUAACUUAAAUAGUGAUCGAGGGGGAGACAGAAAGAAAGGGGUUGUGGGAAGGGACCUUUUACAGUUAAAAUGUGGAGAGCUGCCUUAUGAUUUCCAAAUAACUCGGACAUUAGGGGUCACACAUUUUGGUUGAGAAUAUAAAACAUAGUUGUUGAAUGUAGUUUAUGUGGCAUGUCUUGGAAAAGGUUUCCUCUCUCAAAUCUUAUAAAGUAUACAGGGAUAAUUCAUCAACUAAAAUCAUUAACAUCUUCUUAACAAGUGCAGAAAGAGCGUUUAUUUUUUUUAACAGCGUCCACAUUAUGAAUAGAUUAAAUAUGUCAUCUACCUAUAUAUGCUUAAAAGCUCCAGUAUAUUCGGAUUACUCAAACCAUAAUGAAGAAUACCCCAGAUUAACUAUUUGCUCUUCGAGGGAUACAACAAUACAACUAUUUAUUAGGUAGUUUACUCUUUAUUUGAAAUCACCCCUGCGAUGUAGGCUGAUGUAGAAUAGAUGAAAAUAAUGAUGAACUGCAGCUAAUUUUGCUGAAUAAUAUUUGAAAAAUGAGUGUAUCGCUGAUAGAUGAAGAUUCUACAAUGUCCUUAUCAGAGCUAAGUCAUAAUAGAACAGUUAUAUUUCGAAAGUAGGAUUGUAUUAUUAAUAAUUAUUAUUAUAUUAUUUAUUGUUAUUUACUGCAGAUGUAAAUUUAUUUUAAUGAGCGGAGGGCGGAAAGAUUUAUUUUUACUAAAAUAAAGUUUGGGAUAGCCUCCGUGUAAAUCGUUAGAAAAGGGGGAGGGGGAUCUGUUUUUCUGGAAGAAACUUGCCUAAUAGUUCUCUAAUUCUUUAUAGAUUAAAUCGCAAUAGGAAUACAGCACCGAACAAAUACCGAGUUUCACUCUGAACUCAGUGGAAAGCAGUUACGUCUAACAGAAUGCAAUGAAUUCCUCUUCUCCCUGAAUGUAGUAUGUGUGUGUUUUUCUCUUCCACCACACUGAAGUUCCAUGAAUAGGGAAAGUGGCUCCUAUUGUGUGCCUCUGAACUUCCAAGUCAAUGCAAUUUUUAACCACUGGCUUGUGGUACUUUGAAAAUCACCAGGGGCUGUCAGAGUUGGGUCCUCUGAAAAAUUUACAGUGCUAAAUCAGAGCAUAUGCUGUGAGAGAGGGGGAAAAAAUUGCUUAAGAUUGGAGCAAGUACAGUAUCUGUCUGCCCCCUAGUGUAAGUCUCUUAUCUGCCUAAAAUUCAACUUUAAAAGAAAAGGAUCUCUUAAAGGGACACGACUUUUGGCUCACGUAUGCAUACGAGAAUAAAACUUCUGUGCAUUUUAAUCUGAUUAAUUCCUAAAGAUUUAAAAUUAAUUGGCUUGGACACUCCUAGAUCAGAGAGUAAGAUUUCUGCAUCAGGGUUUCUCCCAAGCCCUGUGUUGAAUAGGUAUUUUUAAGCGGGGGGGGGGGGGAAUGGGGGGACUGGUUUGUGAUUUUUUUUUUUAAAAUGAGAAGCCAUGCCUCUCACGCUUUUGUCAGAACAGAGCAGUUUUGCUGCUUAAAGUCAGAUCUGCACCUUUUGCCGUAAAGAAGGAUAAAUAUUUGCCUUAAAGCUGCAGACCAGCUGCCAACCGCACCUUCCGAUGUAUGAAGAUAGAAAUAUGUUAACUACUGAGGCAGGUGGGUACAUUUUUGAUCAAGAGACUUCUGAUUCUGCAAUGAGGUCAGCUUGAGUGGACGCAGGCACUCAAAUGAAGUCCCAGAGGCUGGAAAGAUUUGAUGAUGAAUUUUAGCAGACAGAAUCCAUGCCCUCUGCAGCUGUGAAGCCCUGGGAAAUAAUCUACACAAAAGAAUUUCGGAAAUGAAAGCUGUCUCUGCUAUCUCCUGUUUAAUUAACACAGCCAAUUAGGUGCAAGUUCUUGUUGCCCAAUCCCCACCUUCAGCCAAGGAACAGGUAUGAGUAAUCCAUUGAAAGGAGAAAAUUAAAGACUAGAAGCUGUCAUUCCAGUCUAGAUUGUGAGACCCUCACUCAUGUUGGCCUAAUACCUUUGCUGUCCCAUCAAAAUCAAGAAGCAAGAAAUGGCAUAACUAAUGUGUACUGUCGAAAUCAAUGGAACUCCUUGGGAGCACAGUUCUACUCAAUGACGAAAGCUGCUGCAUUCUGCAUAAGUGAGUUUAGUAACCUCCAUCUUCAACUCUGGAUACUGAGAACUGCUAAGGCCCAGCCUAGAAAUGAUGAACACAUAGAUCAUUGUAGCCAGAUCCUCAUCUAAGUAGGCUAAAGGUUUGCUGUUGUGGACAUCUGAGAAAAAGUAACCAAAAGAAAGGAAAAGAAACACUGGAGAAUAAAAGUACAUUUGAAAUGGAAGAAAUCUACAUUUCAAUGAAAAUACUUUUAAGCCAUUUCAAAUGGCUGACUGAAAUAAUUACAAAGUUUGGAAAUAGAGAACAGUAGCUUUGAUAGUUUUUUCUUCUGUGAAGCAAUUAAAAUAAGCAAUUUUUCAAAUUCUAAGCAGAAAAUUGCUAAUGGCUGAACCCAAAAGCUUUCAUUUCAUUCUUGGGGUCUUUUUUCUUCUAAAAAAAGACCAAAAAAUACUAAGGUGGUUUUCUAGAUAGAUUAAUGCAUAAAACAGUUGUUAGUUGGAUGUCAUAAAAACUACAGCAGCACAGAAUAGCUAAGAUUAAGAGUCAGAUUUAAAUCAUGCAACAGUCCAGUUAAUAUCAAUGUAUAAUUAAGAAAAGCAUAAGAAGUCUGUAAUGCUGAUUUGAUGGAAAAAACCUCUAAUAGGGUUUCUUUUGGAAUUUUCCAUUUCAAUCACUCUUGUAGAUAUUUAAUGGAUUUCCUACCCUGUCUUUGGCAUUCACGGGAAUUAUCCAAAAGUUAAAAUCAAGCCCUAAAAUGGAACACAUGUAGACAAAUUAGCCUAUCUGGAGAGUGGUCUUUAUAGAAUGACAAUUUGAGCUCACGCUCAAAAUUUAGUACAAAUGUCUCAAAUCUGGAGUGAAAACCCUAUUUGCCAUAUAAUCUUAAGAAAUGUAAUACUAACCCAUUUCCUCACCUUUCUAAUCCAUCUGAAAUUCCUAACAAUUCAGAAAUAUGAAACUAUGGACUAUUAAACUUAACUAAUUAGUCUAUUUAAAUGACAAGGUUUUCUCUAGUCAUGUAUAUGAGUAGUACAUUUAGGUGGGUUUUUCCAUUGCUGGCAGAGAGAUUUAGAGCCCACAAUUCCCCAUUAAUGUCAUGGAGUUUCAUGAAUCUCCCACUCUUCACAGGAUAACUAGAUCCCUUGAAUGAAACUAAAGGGGUGGCAUCUGCCGUACCAUACAAAUCAUCAAGGAAGUUUGGCCAACUAUCUCUGUAGGACAGAUGCUGCUUUUAUGGUUGUGCCUUGAAUGUUUUGGGUACACUGAAGUUGUAAAAUUAAGGACAGUGUGUAGCUAUUUUAGCAUGUACACAACUGUCUAGCGGAGAGGAGAGAAGGACUGGCACUGGAUUAAAGCACAAUAUAUUUGUUGCCAUCACUUUAUUUUUGGCCCAAUGAAAGCUGAGGGAAUUAUCUCCAGAGUCCAGGAAGAUUGCAAACUCAAAAUAACCUGGUACCUCAGGAGCAAGCACAGAAGGGAAUCAUUUUAUAAGUCAUUAGAACAUAUUAGCCUAUAAUACACUGACUAGAGUAAAACAGGGUGCAUUAUUCCAUCUGUCUAUAUAUUCCUUUCCAAUACUAAAUCUGUCUGGAGACCUUUCAACAUUCUAUUAUUAAACACUGCCCCUUCCUUAGCAAAUAAAAAACUGACAAGAAUGGAGAUAACACCAUAGUAACAUACAACAGUGAAAGUUCUACAGUCACAUUCACCAUUACUACUUGAGUCAUCAUGGUCCAGGUCUCUUUAAAUGGUUGCUCAAAACAGAGCACUGAUGAUUCUGAGCGCAGCUUUCAAUGUAUUUAUGCAAUUCUUUGAAACAAAGUCAGUUAACUGAGUCUUUUCUAGCAACUAUUCAUAACAGAGGUAAGCUACACUGAUAAAACACGAAAAAAGGGCUUCCAAACUUGUCUGACACACACAGCAGAUAGACCCCAAAUGGAGGAGGAAACUUUCUCCACUCCUGCAAAAAAGCCAUUCAUCUUUAGAGCUCACUAUAAUUAUGUUCCAGCCCCCUCACAUGGAACCCAACGGAGAAGACUGAAAUAAACCAAUACAUCAGUUACCUAGUUACAGUAAGUCUAACAUACACAUAGAAAAGAUAGCAUUUCUUUUACUUUUUUUAUAUAUAUAUAGUGGAACUUUCAAGAUGAAUGUAACAACAACUAAGUAUCCAUGCUCACUAUAUUCCCAGCUCAUCAUUUGUUUUUGCCUCUCAUUGCAUCAUUUGUUUGUAUUUCAGACUCUUCAGGGCAAGGAUUGUCUCUUACAAUGUGUUUGUAUAGCACUUAGCACAAUGGGGUCCUGGUCCAUGAAAUGGGGCUCUGAUCCUGACUGGGUGCUUUGAGUGACCUCAUAAUAGAAAUAAAUAAUAUGAUUGGUAGAGGAUCUCUUAGUUUUCUUUGAAGGGAGAGCCUAUAGACUGGUGUUCAUGUAAUUGGAAAUUUGAAUAAAAAUAUCAAUACACUGUACAUUUUUUAAAAGCACAUGUUGAAAUUUUGGGAGGCACCCGCUAAAUUGAAAACCAAAAUAAAUAAAACCUGAAUAUCUACAGAAUAAGAUCAGCAAUAUAAUCUUCCCGCUUCACCCCACCAAUGCACCUCUACAUUGUCUUGGAGUAACCAAUUUAAGGGAUGAAGGUAAAAUUCCAUUUCCACAUCCAGGGAGAACUUAUCCCCAUCAUCAAAAUUGGCAACCUGGCUGGUUCUCUUGGCAGAGAUGUUAGGGUCACUUACGUCACUUUACCUUUUAAAAAAAGGAUAGAAUAGCCCUACCAGUUCCAGCUGGGAAUACUCCUGUGCAACUUCUACUCCAUAGUCCCAGCUGACUGGAGUGAUUGCCAUCACAUGAUCACUGUACAGCUGGCAGGAAGAGACAAAACUGCUCAUUUCCAUCUGUGACAUUUCUCAGACAGGAAGAAAGCUACAAGGCAUCAAACUGUAGGCUGAGAAGCAUCAGUGCGGCCACCUGUUAGAGAUACUGAUAAAGAGAAAACUUGGUAAAAUGUAGAGAUGUGAAGAACUGCUGGGAAUAAAAUAAACUGGUAAAGAGGAAGUGAUGGUGCCUUCUUACCACCAAUCACCAUUUACAGCUGCCAUCUGAGGUCAGAACCCAGGAGGCCAGAAACAAAUACAAGCCUCUAUGUGAAACAGAUUACAAGAGACACACUGGAGGUGUGGAAAGCACAGAUCAGCUGCUAGAGGCAUAGGACACAAUAUCUUGUACUGUUAAAAAUGGUUGGGGAAAAUGGAAGUCCAUAUGGCCCAAUUAGCAAUUCACAAUGCUUUUGCUGUAAACCAGAAAAUAGCACCUGAAAGGCUGUUGUCAUUUCUGGACUUGCAAGCAUAUGUUAUUUGCAGCCUUAUAUUUGUAAGUGCAGACCUCCCUGACUUUGAGGGGGGAAGUCACAGAACAUUGAGUCUGCUACAAGGAAAUCACAUUUCCCUUCACAUAAUGUAGUAAAUAGCAAGAGUCUGCCAAACCCAGAUUCAAAGAGAAGGGGGAAAAAUUCUUAGUUGAAAUAAGCCAUCAUAGCUCUAUUUACUAGGGGCCAGGGGGAAAGAACAAUUUCCAGCAGCUGAGGAUCUGCCCCUGGAACUUAGACUAGUGUUCUGUGGAACUCCAUGAAAUUGAAUCAAAUAUUUGCCAACAUAGAUUAAAUUUGAAAAGGUGCCCAGUUUUUCCCUGAGCAACAUAUUUGCCAGAGGAAAAGAAACUCCAGGAGGUAAGUUCCUCUUUUAAUGUGCAUAUAUAACUAACAGGAAUGGGAACUGUAUCAAGUGGAGAAUCUAUUCCUUGGGUAUUUAUUUCUUCCAGAUUAAAGCAGAAUUGUGGCUAAUAAAUUGUUGAAGUGUGAAGUGGAUUUGCACCUCUCAGAAGAUGUAGCUGGUCCAAGCCAGGGUAUCACUUUUCCUUUUAAGAUUCAAUAAAAUUUUCACAGGCCUGGCUUUAGCUAUAGGUAUGAAAUUCAAAUUUGUUUCACAGUUCUCUUGCUGCCUGCAUGGAAGUUAAAUAAACAUAUAAAGGGCCUGAUUUUCAGCCCUGAUGUCAUUGCAUAUGUAUGGGUGUGUCCAUCUGCUCACCUACGUUGUCCACACAGAACCACAUAUAUGUGUGCAAGUCUCUAAUGUGUGCACACAUAAGGCUAGAUGACUGGGCAUCCAACCACAUGUCUAGGAAUUUGUGGAAUUUGUGCUCAUGCACAGAUAUGCACCAACGCCAUGCCGGACCUCAGACCAGAUCAUUCAGAAUCUUGACACUUUCAGAAGAAACUGAUGGUUCAAGCAAUAUUCAGGUUAUUCUAUGGUGCUGGAUAGAGCUUUGAUGAUUCUCACAAAUCAUGAUACAUUUGAGAGACAGCAUGAUUAGUAUCCAGGGCACAAGACUGGGACUUGAGAUACAUGGAUGCUAUUCCCAGCUCUGCCACUGCCCUGCUGUAUGCCCAGAGUAAGUCACUUCAUCUCUCUGUGCCUCUGAUUCUCCUCCUACCCUUUGCCUGUUUUAUCUAUUGAGGGUGAGCUUUUCAAAAGCACUUGAGUGAGUUAAGAAUCAGUGCAGCUUGUGCUCCUAAUUCAUCCAGGCACUUUUACCCCACUUUUUGUGUGUCACAUCUAUUUAGAUGGCAAGUUCCUUAGUAUAAGGACGUGUUUGACUUUGUACAGUGCCUAGUACAAUGGCCAUUCUGAGAUGGGACCUCUAGGUGCUAGUGUAAUACAAAUAAUACAUAUAUUACUUUUUUUAAAAAUAGUUUAUAUUUGGGUAGAAUUUUAUGACAUAGGAACAUCUACCAUAAUGACAGCUAAGGAAUUUAAUUCUUCAUGCCUAUAUGCAAUACUUUAUUAUUUCAUAACAUGGACUGUUUUGCCAGUAUUUAUUCUGGUGGUGUGUGUACACUACAAUCUUAAAAAGGGGUAAGAUGUCUCAUAUUAUAGCAUAAUAAUGGAGUUAUACAUUCAAAUUCCUUAUAUUUUAAAAAACAUACAGUAGGAAGAGCUACCCCUGAAAAGGCGACUGAUGGAUCUAAUUUGUUAACCUGACUCUGGAAGUUGCCAAUACUUGUGCCUCAUUACUGGUAACACCUAGAUUAAUAGAGUUUAAGGUCUGAAGAGAAUAUCAGCUCAUCUAGUCUGACAUAUAUAAUACUGGCCAGAGAAUUGCAUCAUGAUUUGAGCAUAUCCUUCCAGCAAAGGAUCCAAUUUUGAUUUGAAGACUUCAUAAGAUGGAGAAUCCACCACUUCCCUUGCUAGUUUCUUCCCUCACUGGUAAAAAAUUGUGCCUUAUUUCUAAUAUGCAUUUGUCUGGAUAUAACUUCUAGCCAUUGGUUCUUAUUAUGACUGUCUCCACUAGAUUAAAUACCCCUUAAUACCCAGUAUUUUCUCCCUGGGAAGGCACAUAUGCCUUGUACACGACAUAAUGUAGUAGGACAAAUUACGCAAUUCUACUGCACCGAGGAACACAUUUAGUGCUAACUCAAUGCUGGAAAAACGUACACUCCAAAUGAUGGGAUUUGAUAUCCAUAUAAUUUUUAAAUCUAGACAGUGAUAUAGUACGCAUAUAAAUAGGUAACCCUUCCUUGAACAUCUCUAAACUACAAUUCUCUUCAAUAAUCUCCCACAGCAGUGAAUCCCGUAGGUUGUUUUCCUUCUGAUAUGGUUUUUUAAAAUAUUCUUGUCUAUCCAUUUUAAAUAUAUGCCCUUAUAAUUUCUCAACUUUCCAGCUUUUCUGAAAUGGUAGGAUAUUUUGAAGAGAUACAUCCAAUCAGUGUUCCCCACACUAUCAUGUUACAUAGCUCUGUUAACUCUCCUCUUUGUUCAGGACUAAAUCAUUUUAGGCUUCUUAAUUUCUAUACACAUAGGAUAUCAACCCCUAGCCACAAAGCCGUAAGUCGUUUCAGUUGUUCAUCUGUGGCUCUUUUCUAUAUCUCAUAUGCUGUUUUGGGGCUUUAGGGAUAAAAUGAUCAAAACCGAAAGAGAAUUUGAAGUGCAGAUUCCCAUCAAAAUUUUUGGGCCAAGUCAGUGGAACUAUGCUGAUUUACUCCUUCUGAGGAUCAGGUCCCAUAAUGCCAUCAAUGUUUUUGGUAUUGUCCAAAUAUCCCAAAGCAGCAUCCUUUCCACCCUUUUUAAUUGAGACUUUACUGUUGCUUUUCUUGAGACCAAACAGGAAUGGCGCAUACGUCUCGGUCUCUCUAUUUUUCCUGGUUGUGAUGCUUUGGGGUUCAACCCAGAUCUGAAUGGGGCUCUGUCACUCUGGGUACCUUAAAUGCUAUGCUGCAGGGCUCAAGAUCCUGACACCAACAGCCAGCAUACAAGCAUGCAGGUCAUCCCCGGCUUUCACCACCUGGCUACUUUUUUUGCAGAGUGACCCAAUACCUUCCCCAUCCCAAUUUUCCCCCAAAUUGUCUGCCAAUGUGAAAAUCUGCUGAGGUUCCCAAAACUGUAAGUUACUGUGUGAUCUCUCUCAGCCUUGGCUGAGAGCUUUACCUUUAACGCUAAUAGUGGUUUUAAUUCAAUUUAUUGAACAUAAAUAUUCUGAUAUAUCCUAAAGUUUUCAGCUUGAGACGCUGCAGUUUUGUUUGAAUGUAAUUCAGACCUAGCAACUUAUGCGGUGAGUUCAUUCCAGACAAAUAGUUAAAAAAAUCCAGUGUGUCAGAACUUCAGGCAUUGCACACUGGGGAAAGUCAUUGGCAGAAUGCAUACUUUGGAGCAUUUUUCCAUUAUCACAUGGGAUUCUUAGCCUGGGAUUGUUGUGCUUGAAAAACGCAUCUCCUUGGAGAAUCUGUUAAAGAUAUGGCAUAAGAGAGAGAUCAGAUUUCCAGUAUUCUUAGGAAUGACUUUCACAAGGGUAGAAAGAAACAUAUUUCCCAUUUUGGGAAACAGAAGCAGCCACUCUCAACAGAAAGAAAAGUUUAAGAUUGCAAAAGAAACAUCAGGUUGGAAUGUUAUGGGAGUUAUAUAUCUCUGUAGCAAUCAAUGUGGUUUGUACAGGAUGUCAGUGUAAGUGGCUAUUGAAUUAAGAGGUGUCUUUUCCCUGUAAUUUACACUACAAAUUCAGUGUAAAAAUUUCUGAUGUUUCAUCAGACUAAUUCCAUUACCUUACUGAGUGAUAGAAAUUACAUUUAUUUUCUUUAGGCUCUGAAAUACAGACAUAAUAAAUCAAUAGAAAGAAAAGG